Molecule: long non-coding RNA, 2198 nt
Organism: Nerophis lumbriciformis (worm pipefish)
Lineage: Eukaryota; Metazoa; Chordata; Actinopteri; Syngnathiformes; Syngnathidae
Source: RefSeq, a predicted model, not a curated record
AAAAACAUUUUAUUUUUCACUAAAGAAGGGUUCGGUGAAUGCGCAUAUGAAACUAGUGGGGUUCGGUACCUCAAACAAGGAUAAGAACUACUGGUCUAUGGUCACCAGCGAAUAGAGAAUAGAUAACAUCAACAAUGUCCCGACAACAAAGAUAGAAACUUAAACAGGUGAGGAGAAAUGCUCUGGGACAAAAGUGAAGCAGCCACGGGAAAACACCAACAAAACCGGGAGCGCCACCAAAAUAAAAGCACAAGACAGGAACUAACACAAAACAUCGGAGAACACUAACAAAACCCAACAUAAAGACAAGGCCUGGUGUAACCAGCUGUGACACCAUCAUAGCUAUUAGACAAUAAUCGCAAUCUGCUGGAAGUUGGCUGAUUGACACUGAUGUCAAAACGUAUUUUUCACUAAUAAAACACAAGUAACAUGGUGUUCUUCAAAGAUGUAUUUGUGCUACGUGUCCAGCAGAGGGCACACUAACUAACUCAUUUCAUCUUUCAUCACCAGCAGAGGGAAGUAGUGAGGACUAGAGAGCCAAUUGCAUUUACUCAACCCAAUCGUGUGAAUCAAUGGCAAGUUCAGACCGAGUUUGUGAAGUAAACAAUAAGUCAACAAGUUAUGUCUCAAAGCACAUUGUGUCUCAACCAGCCUACAGCAGGCAACUGCAAUUUUGCACCAAUUUUCACUCUAAACGUGAGUGAAGAAUGCCCUACCAAUUUUAACCACUAGAUCGCAGUACAGAGCUGGAAUAGUUUAGUCCCAGUUCCAACUUUGACUAUAAUUUGAGUUCCUUGAAAAAGUUUUAAGAUUUUUUUGGAGAGAAGUGUAGUUAGUUUUUUUUUUUUAAUAUAGUUUAUAUAAAACACAAAUUAUUCAUUUUUCCAUUCAACUGUUUGGACAAAUGUAAUAACAAUUCUGGGGAAAAUUUAAAGGGAAUGUAAUCUGUUGGCAUCUCAUUUAAACAUGGGAUUGAACUCAGAUCCCUAUUGAAAUUGUGAUUGCUAUUCUGCUUCCUAACCACUGCUCCAUUCCAUCAUGAAUAGAUGUUAUUCAACUCAAUUUUAUUGCUUAAAAAUAUGUUAAGGAGUUGUGACAAGAACGUUUGACAUCACGUUGAAGAAGAGGACACACACAGAACCUCAACAAAGUGUCCCUGUGGCGAGGAAAACUGACAAUAAAAGAUCAGUGGAGAGAUUUGUCAUCACCACUUUGCAGCUGACAGAAAGAUUUUAAGAUCUGUUCCAUUGACAACAAGGAAUUGCGUCUCCGGCAAGCAGAAGUAUAAAAGGCAGCUGGCAGGAAGUUUAAUGAUGUCCUUUUAACAGACGAGUCCACGGUUUUGUUAGUUUUUUGUCUUGAGGUGUUGGGAGCAGGAAAGCCAUCAAGGCCAAGACCAAACCAAAAGCCAAACACCCUGUCAAACUGAAUGUGUGGAAUAGAAUUUGAAGGCACGGUGCGUCAUGGGAGAUGCCGGAGGUUGUCAUGAUUGUAGGGAUGCAGAUGAAUGAGGUGGAGGUGUGAGGUAACAAAGGGGAAUUUAAUAAUAAAACAAACAAAAAGCGAGAGCAACGGGGAAGUGCUCUGACCAAAGAAGCUGAGACGAACACAAAACAAAAUGCAAAACACUUAUAGAAAAUUUGGGGUUGACGACGUCCACACAGUACGAGUGUACUUAGCAUCCAAAAGGAUCGUCUAUGGUCACCAGAGAAUAGACAAUAGCAGCACUUACAAACAAUGUCCCAACAACAAAUGGUGGCUCACACUCAACUUAAAUAGAACUGCUAACAGAAAGCAGGUAAGGGAAAAUGCUCUGUGACAAAAGUAAAGCAACCAUGGGAAAACACCAACAAAACCGGAUUAGCCACCAAAAUAAAGGCACAGGACAGGAACUAACACAAAACACUGGAGAUCACUAACAAAAUGGCACACACAGCCUUAUAACCAGCCGUGACAGAAUGUCCUCCCAACAAAAUGGAUACCAGACGUUCUAGAAAAAAAGGUCCAAAGUCACAGGAGAGCGGAGGGAGUACAAGACGGUGGGUCGCCUGGCCAUAUGUCGUCGCAACCAGCGGGGAAGAGUCAGUUGGCGCCGACAGACUGCCGGCAAGGCGGGCGACCACGGAACUGCCACAUUUCGUGGCUGAAGAGGGGGCCGGGACGCGUGCGGGUGACAAGCUGGAGGCAAUGAGGAGCCA